This 861-nucleotide long non-coding RNA is filed under the name Aotus nancymaae (Ma's night monkey). RNAcentral describes it as "lncRNA (ENSANAG00000039399.1)". Lineage: Eukaryota; Metazoa; Chordata; Mammalia; Primates; Aotidae. The record is from RNAcentral.
CUGGGUUAUCUAUUCUGCUCCAUUUGUCUAUGUUUCUGUUUUGGCUACUAUGGCAUUGUGGCAUAUUUUAAAGUCUGGUAGUGUGACGCCUCCAGCUUGUUCCUACUGCUCAGGAUUGCUUUGGCUAUUUGGGAUCUUUUGGGGUGACAUACAAAUUUUAGAAUUUUUCUUUCUUUUCUUUGAAGAAUGUCAUUGUUAUUUCGAUAGGGACAGUCUGGAUUUUAAACUGUGGUAUCUGGAAGUCAAUAAUGUGAAUUUCUCGGAUUUUGUAUCCAGCCUCAUCUACAAACCAUGUCUUUUAAAUGACCAUACCUGGAGUUCCAAACAGCCCUCAAUCUGACACCUCACUUUCUUGAGUUACUGACAGUUGCAUUCCUUAAAACCAGUGACAGUCACAAUGAAAGAGAAAAUAUUCUCAGGAGGAAGUAGCUGUCAAGGAUGGCUAGACUGGAAAUUUUACUUAUCUUGACAGCAGUUUUGACUGUAAUGGAUUUACCUCCAGGAUUAGUGUUUGCCUACUUUCGCCUUUUCCUACCCUCUCCCUGGUUUAAGCAAAUGUCUGGAUCACUAUGAUGUUGUUCUAUUGUCUGGAUGUGGUUUCACAACUGGGAGGGAGAUGCUAAUGGAACCAAGCAAGAAGAAGUCAAGAAAAAUAAUAACCAUCUUACGAUGUGCAGGGUAGCCUUCCGCAAAAAGACUAGCAUCUCAAUAGCGCCAAGGUUGAGGAUCUUUGUUUAAGUCUCACCUUGCAAAGAGCAGAGCAUGUGUGUGAACUAUGAACAAUUCUUAUUUUGUGAUGUAAUAGAAUGCCUCAAUUUGUGCUCUUGUCAUAAUUUAACUCCUUUAAGCAUGAAAUAAAUA